UGAGGAAUAUUGGUCAAUGGGCGGGAGCCUGAACCAGCCAAGCCGCGUGAGGGAAGAAGGCCCUAUGGGUCGUAAACCUCUUUUGUCAGGGAACAAAAGCGAGUAUGUAUACUGGUCUGAGUGUACCUGAAGAAAAAGCAUCGGCUAACUCCGUGCCAGCAGCCGCGGUAAUACGGAGGAAUGCGAGCGUUAUCCGGAUUUAUUGGGUUUAAAGGGUGCGUAGGCGGCGGUGCAAGUCAGCGGUAAAAGCCCGGGGCUCAACCCCGGCGAGCCGUUGAAACUGCAGUGCUAGAGAAGGCGAGAGGUACGCGGAAUGCGCAGUGUAGCGGUGAAAUGCUUAGAUAUUGCGCAGAAACUCCGAUUGCGAAGGCAGCGUACUGGCGCCUGACUGACGCUGAGGCACGAAAGCGUGGGGAUCGAACAGGAUUAGAUACC
This 435-nucleotide ribosomal RNA is filed under the name uncultured bacterium. RNAcentral describes it as "bacterial SSU rRNA". It matches the Rfam family "Bacterial small subunit ribosomal RNA", at positions 355 to 786 of the family's 1533-position model. The record is from RNAcentral.